GGUGUGGUUCGAGAAAAAGAAAACCUGGUAGUCUGAAAAAAGGAGAACCUGGCUGUGCGAAAAAAGGGAGACCUGGUCGUUCAAAAAAGGGAAAACCUGGUCCAAACGAACCUGCAGAACCAGAGGAACAAGACGAAGGUGCAGAAAUGGAGGUGGACCAAGGGCAAUCAGCUUUGGACAUGUCUGAAGGGAAAGAUCGAGCUGCUGAAAUGGAGCAACAAGAAGAGUCAGCUCUGGGCAUGUCUGAACCUAAAGAUGAACCUACAGAAAUGGAGGAGCACCAGGAAGAGUCGGCUCAGGGCAUGUCUGAACCUAAAGAUGAGCCUGCAGAAAUGGAGGAGCAACAGGAACGGUCAGCUCUGGACAUGACUGAAGCCGAAGACAAACCUGCGGAGAUAGUGGAGCACCUGGAAGAGUCAGCUCUGGACAUGACUGAAGCUGAAGACAAACCUGCAGAGAUGAAGGAGCACCAGGACCGGUCAGCUCAGGACAUGACUGAAGCCAAAGACAAGCCUGCAGAGAUGGAGGUUCACCAAGAACAGCCAGCUCUAGAUAUGUCUGUAGAUGAAGACGGGCUUGCAGAAAUGAAGGGGCACCGAGGACAGUCAGCUCAGGACAUGC
RNAcentral lists this long non-coding RNA (621 nucleotides) under Hordeum vulgare. RNAcentral's name for it is "long non-coding RNA (HVUL_LNC014593)". Lineage: Eukaryota; Viridiplantae; Streptophyta; Magnoliopsida; Poales; Poaceae. The record is from RNAcentral.